RNAcentral lists this ribosomal RNA (311 nucleotides) under uncultured soil bacterium. Its description in RNAcentral is "bacterial SSU rRNA". It matches the Rfam family "Bacterial small subunit ribosomal RNA", at positions 26 to 363 of the family's 1533-position model. The record is from RNAcentral.
AGAACGAACGCUGGCGGCAUGCCUAAUACAUGCAAGUCGAACGAACACUUCGGUGUUAGUGGCGCACGGGUGCGUAACGCGUGGGAAUCUGCCCUUGGGUUCGGAAUAACAGUUGGAAACGACUGCUAAUACCGGAUGAUGACGAAAGUCCAAAGAUUUAUCGCCCAGGGAUGAGCCCGCGUAGGAUUAGCUAGUUGGUGAGGUAAAGGCUCACCAAGGCGACGAUCCUUAGCUGGUCUGAGAGGAUGAUCAGCCACACUGGGGACUGAGACACGGCCCAGACUCCGUACGGGAGGCAGCAGUAGGGAAUA